UGCCUUUAGGGGAAAAGAUAAAAGUAAGGAAUACCUUACCGGGAGGUAUGGCCAAAGGUAAAUCAUAAGCCUUUGAUAAGGACUGGGCCAAAUCCAGACAAACAGCUGCUCAAUCCCAACUUUGUAGUAAGCAGAUAACGUCACACAGAAAAUCAAUGUGAGUGCGACCACUAUUAGAAAAGCUCCCUUCUGCUGGCAUCACUCAAGUGAACAUCAUAUCUGUGCAGGGAUGCUCGUUCUCAGUUACGUUGGGAAAUGGUUUAGGAGGAAGAAGAGACACUACAGUACCAGCUUCCUGUCCUGCCUUGACAAGCAUCCCUUAAAAGGCAUGCCUACCUCAGAGUGCGCAUUUUUGAGUCCAAGACGCAGAAGGACGCUGACGUCAUGGUUCACACUUAUGAUACCAGAACUCAGGGGCCUCCAACAGGAGGAGUGUCCUGAGCUACACUGCAACCCUUACAAACAAACCCAAG
Molecule: long non-coding RNA, 473 nt
Filed under: Rattus norvegicus (Norway rat)
Lineage: Eukaryota; Metazoa; Chordata; Mammalia; Rodentia; Muridae
Description: long non-coding RNA NONRATT014743
Source: RNAcentral